AGUGCAAAUUUCCAGCCAACACUGUAAUUGAGAUUGCAUAGAAGAGCAUCAAUCCAUUCACUCUUCCCGGAGUUUGGGACUCCUGUAACAAUAGUCAACUCUCCCGGUACAACAUUGUAUAGAUGAUUUAAGGACCUCCAUCCAGUUGGAACCCCAAGCUCGUAGCCAAUUGUUUGAUGAUAAUAUGCAUCAAUCUCAGUAAAGUAAUUAUUAAAGUUGAAUAAUCCUUGUAUCGGGUACAGCUCUGCACCUUCAAUAACCUCUCUCAGUGCACCAGGCCCCAGACACAUAAGUACCUCAUUUGCAUCUUUGAAGUGAUCUAUAGUGCUCUUUUUU
RNAcentral lists this unclassified non-coding RNA (336 nucleotides) under Hevea brasiliensis (rubber tree). The record is from RNAcentral. Lineage: Eukaryota; Viridiplantae; Streptophyta; Magnoliopsida; Malpighiales; Euphorbiaceae.